RNAcentral lists this ribosomal RNA (251 nucleotides) under uncultured prokaryote. RNAcentral describes it as "partial 16S rRNA". It matches the Rfam family "Bacterial small subunit ribosomal RNA", at positions 525 to 775 of the family's 1533-position model. The record is from RNAcentral.
ACGGAGGGUGCAAGCGUUACUCGGAAUCACUGGGCGUAAAGCGCGCGCAGGCGGCUUUGUAAGUUGGAUGUGAAAUCCUAUGGCUCAACCAUAGAACUGCAUCGAAAACUGUUUAGCUAGAGUCUGGUAGAGGAAGGUGGAAUUAGAGGUGUAGCGGUGAAAUGCGUAGAUAUUGGGAGGAACACCAGAAGCGAAGGCGACCUACUGGGCUGUAACUGACGCUGAGGCGCGAAAGCUAGGGGAGCAAACAG